GGGGAAUUUUGGACAAUGGGCGCAAGCCUGAUCCAGCCAUGCCGCGUGAGUGAAGAAGGCCUUCGGGUUGUAAAGCUCUUUUGUCAGGGAAGAAAUGCUCUGGGUUAAUACCCUGGGGUGAUGACGGUACCUGAAGAAUAAGCACCGGCUAACUACGUGCCAGCAGCCGCGGUAAUACGUAGGGUGCGAGCGUUAAUCGGAAUUACUGGGCGUAAAGCGUGCGCAGGCGAUUUUGUAAGUCAGAUGUGAAAUCCCCGGGCUCAACCUGGGAACUGCAUUUGAGACUGCAAGGCUAGAGUGUAGCAGAGGGGGGUAGAAUUCCACGUGUAGCAGUGAAAUGCGUAGAGAUGUGGAGGAAUACCGAUGGCGAAGGCAGCCCCCUGGGUUACUACUGACGCUCAUGCACGAAAGCGUGGGGAGCAAAC
This 425-nucleotide ribosomal RNA is filed under the name uncultured bacterium. RNAcentral's name for it is "bacterial SSU rRNA". It matches the Rfam family "Bacterial small subunit ribosomal RNA", at positions 356 to 773 of the family's 1533-position model. The record is from RNAcentral.